GGGUGGUAAUGCCGGAUGCUCCAGUUGAUCGCAUGGUCUUCUGGGAAAGCUUUCGCGGUAUGGGAUGGGGUCGCGUCCUAUCAGCUUGACGGCGGGGUAACGGCCCACCGUGGCUUCGACGGGUAGCCGGCCUGAGAGGGCGACCGGCCACAUUGGGACUGAGAUACGGCCCAGACUCCUACGGGAGGCAGCAGUGGGGAAUAUUGCACAAUGGGCGCAAGCCUGAUGCAGCGACGCCGCGUGAGGGAUGGAGGCCUUCGGGUUGUAAACCUCUUUUAUCGGGGAGCAAGCGAGAGUGAGUUUACCCGUUGAAUAAGCACCGGCUAACUACGUGCCAGCAGCCGCGGUAAUACGUAGGGUGCAAGCGUUAUCCGGAAUUAUUGGGCGUAAAGGGCUCGUAGGCGGUUCGUCGCGUCCGGUGUGAAAGUCCAUCGCUUAACGGUGGAUCCGCGCCGGGUACGGGCGGGCUUGAGUGCGGUAGGGGAGACUGGAAUUCCCGGUGUAACGGUGGAAUGUGUAGAUAUCGGAAAAAAAAAC
This 537-nucleotide ribosomal RNA is filed under the name Bifidobacterium longum subsp. suillum. RNAcentral describes it as "bacterial SSU rRNA". It matches the Rfam family "Bacterial small subunit ribosomal RNA", at positions 158 to 710 of the family's 1533-position model. The record is from RNAcentral. Lineage: Bacteria; Bacillati; Actinomycetota; Actinomycetes; Bifidobacteriales; Bifidobacteriaceae.